This 453-nucleotide ribosomal RNA is filed under the name uncultured bacterium. Its description in RNAcentral is "bacterial SSU rRNA". It matches the Rfam family "Bacterial small subunit ribosomal RNA", at positions 340 to 786 of the family's 1533-position model. The record is from RNAcentral.
UACGGGAGGCAGCAGUGGGGAAUAUUGCACAAUGGGCGCAAGCCUGAUGCAGCCAUGCCGCGUGUAUGAAGAAGGCCUUCGGGUUGUAAAGUACUUUCAGUCGUGAGGAAGGUGUUAAGGUUAAUAACCUUAGCAAUUGACGUUAGCGACAGAAGAAGCACCGGCUAACUCCGUGCCAGCAGCCGCGGUAAUACGGAGGGUGCGAGCGUUAAUCGGAAUUACUGGGCGUAAAGGGCACGCAGGCGGUUAAUUAAGUUGGAUGUGAAAUCCCCGGGCUUAACCUGGGAAUGGCAUUCAAGCUGGUUAGCUAGAGUCUUGUAGAGGGGGUAGAAUUCCAUGUGUAGCGGUGAAAUGCGUAGAGAUGUGGAGGAAUACCGGUGGCGAAGGCGGCCCCUGGGACAAAGACUGACGCUCAUGUGCGAAAGCGUGGGGAGCAAACAGGGAUUAGAUACC